AAUGAACGUUGGCGGCGUGGAUUAGGCAUGCGAGUCGAGCGAGAACCGUAGCAAUACGGGGACAGCGGCGAAAGGGACAGUAACGGGUAGAUUAUCUGCCCUCAGGUUUGGGAUAGCUGCGGGAAACUGCAAGUAAUACCAAAUAAUAUCUCCGGAUCAAAGGUGUGAUUCCGCCUGAGGAUGAGUCUGCCUCCUAUUAGCUAGUUGGUGGGGUAACGGCCUACCAAGGCGUUGAUGGGUAGCGGGUGUGAGAGCACGACCCGCGUCAUUGGGACUGAGACACUGCCCAGACACCUACGGGUGGCUGCAGUCGAGAAUCUUCGGCAAUGGACGCAAGUCUGACCGAGCGACGCCGCGUGUGGGAUGAAGGCCUUCGGGCUGUAAACCACUGUCAGAGGGGAUGAAAUGCAGGUGGGUUCUCCCAUCUGUUUGACAUAGCCUCAGAGGAAGUACGGGCUAAGUUCGUGCCAGCCGCCGCAGUAA
Molecule: ribosomal RNA, 483 nt
Filed under: uncultured bacterium
Lineage: Bacteria
Description: partial 16S ribosomal RNA
Rfam family: Bacterial small subunit ribosomal RNA
Source: RNAcentral